This 216-nucleotide ribosomal RNA is filed under the name Glomeromycotina sp. RNAcentral describes it as "partial small subunit ribosomal RNA". The stretch from base 44 to 216 matches the Rfam family "Eukaryotic small subunit ribosomal RNA", at positions 690 to 864 of the family's 1831-position model. The record is from RNAcentral. Lineage: Eukaryota; Fungi; Glomeromycota.
GGGUCAGUAGGUUGGUCGUGCCACCGGUACGUACUGGUCUCACUGAUUCCUCCUUCCUGAAGAACCGUAAUGCCAUUAAUUUGGUGUUGCGGGGAAACAGGACUGUUACUUUGAAAAAAUUAGAGUGUUUAAAGCAAGCUAACGCUUGAAUACAUUAGCAUGGAACAAUGAAAUAGGACGAUCGAUCCCAUUUUGUUGGUUUCUAGGAUUGACGUA